This is a long non-coding RNA of Metopolophium dirhodum (rose-grain aphid), 3461 nucleotides long. RefSeq lists it as uncharacterized. The record is from RefSeq and is a predicted model, not a curated record. NCBI's taxonomy places the organism in Eukaryota, Metazoa, Arthropoda, Insecta, Hemiptera, Aphididae. The transcript has 4 exons.
UUAAAAAAUCAAUUGCUAAAGUUCAACAAUAUAAAUAGUUAGUAUUACACAAAAUUAAUAAAAAUUAAAAACAUAUUAUUAGUAUAUCACUUUAAUUCAUUAUACUACGUGUAUAAAAAUAAAUAAUAAAUAUAUUAAUGUAACUUAUAAAAACUAUUAAAAGUUAAGUCAUGCUAAGUACUGAGUAGGUAUAUCCAUAAUAUGAGAUGGCAAAAUGUAAACCAAUAUCUUGAACAUAAAGAGACUCCUCAUCGCCAUUUAAGUAGUGUUAAAUCAUUCCUACAACAUUUUUGAUGUUUUCACAAAUUCUUCUGGAGGAUAUGUAUCUGAGCAGCCACUGGGGAAAUAAAGUCAGGAUGAUUCUAAGAGUGGCCGAAAUUAAGUUUCUGGUGAGUUGUUCAACCGUGAAACAUUGUUAGAAAUAAAAACAUGCUUUUGUCUGGGGCCUAACUUCAAUUAAAAGCAUUAGAAGUAGCUCAUAAAAUCAAGUUUCGUAGUUUCAAAGCUUCCAACAGCUGGUUAGAGUGCUUCAAGGAACGACAUACAAUUGUUUUUAAAUUGAUUUGCGGAGAAGCGGCUUCUACUAAUGUGACAGUCGUUAAUGAGCGGAAAUCAAAACUUAUGGAAACACUGCAUUUUAAUUCAAUUUUUGAUAAUUAUUAAUUUAAAAGAUGGUCUGGAGGUCUAAGAUCUGAAAUCAUGUCUGAAAAACGGGCCAUUCGGCUCUCCUAUAUAGUGAGCUUAUUCCUCUACUUUACUUGUCCCUUAUGAAUAGUGCUGCCGCUUCCACGGUCUGUAUGGUCGAUGCCCCGAAUUAGCUAGUAAGGUCGUGCAUAUGUGGCCGUGGAUUUGCAGCUGUAUCCAGGGCCGGAUUUAGGGUUGUUUGGGCCCCAGGAUCCACAUAAGAUUGAAAUAUAAGAAUUUUUCGUUAAUCUACAUGCUUUAAAACUUAAAUUUUAAAAUUAUAUUACUGAUGGGUUAUUCUCUCAUCACGCUAUUAAUUUCUUAUCAUAUCAAUUUUGCUUAUUAAACAUAAUUAAUACAGAUUUAUAAAAUGUUAAUACAAUUAAUAAGUAAAUACUACUUGUAUUAAAGUAACCUUUAAAGUUAUCUCUUUUUAUUUUUUUUUUAGACAUUUAGUACAUUAAACCAUUGAAUAAGCUAUUAUUAAAAUAUAUUUGAUGCUAAUGAAAACUAAAAUAAGCCCUUCAAAUUAUUUUCAACAACAAUUUUGAUAUAUUCAAUAAUAUAUAAUUAUAUAUAUAUAGUAUGUUCGUUAAAGGUACAACAUUAUUUUAUAAUAUACAAAUAUAAAAAUAAAAUACUAAAGAAAUAUAAUGUACAAGUUAUUUAUAAUAAACAUACUUUUCUUAACUUCUUAAUAGAAAAUUGUUUAAUGGUAUCUUCAAAGUCCAAGUACCUAAGUAUCAGUAUUUUUCAUUGAAGACUGAAGUAAAGUAAAGUAUUUUUAUUUUGGCACUUUAAAUUAAAUGUAACUUUUAUUAGUUUCCAAUUUAAAUGAGGGUAGACACUAUCGCAUUGUUUCUUAUGACGCUUCACCACUCUAAUUUAUAUUUAUUAGGUAGGUAGUGUUUAGUUAGGUAAAUUAAAUUAUGAUAAAAUCAAUAUUUAUUAAUAAUUUACUUACCCGAUAGUAAUAGUAGGCUAAUUGAAUAUGUGACAAAUUUACAAUGUAUAGGUACUCGGAAUUCAAAUUUUGUAAACUCUGACAAAACAAUCAAUGAUAAAUGAUAAUGUUGAAGUUUAUGUUUCAAGUGAUACAUAGAAAUCUUGUAAGUAAAUUGUAUUAGAGUUUCACGCAAUAAAUCUUAUUUGAACAUAUAUUUGAACAGUGUCUACUUAAAAUCGAUCUAACUAACAAAUAAAAUUAUUUAUGGUUUUAGAGUUUUCCAAUGGUAUACGCAAUACUUACUGGUAAAACGGAAGAAAUAUAUGUAGGGUUAUUCAAAUAUGUCCGUUUUACAGUUCAUUAAACCUCAUUCCAAAAUAUGGGAUUCAUGUAUAUAAUGCAAUGUAUAAAAAAAUGUUUGUGUUGGCUUAUAAUUUUUGUAAGGUUUUAGGUACAGCAGUUAUAUUAUGUUAAGUGUGUAUGAAUAUAAAUUACCAUUAAUAUUAUGUAUGUGGGAAAGCAUUUGUUUUAGUAGCUUCAAGAUCUAUGAUAAUAUAAUAUGCAAAAUUUAUCUGUUCUUGUUUUUGGAUAAUUUAAAUAAAUAAAAGGUAUUGGUUAAGUAUCUAUGUAUGUGUGUGUGUUCAUAUAUCAUUAUCUAAUUUAACAAAAUAAUUAAACUUUAAAUUCUUUAUUUUUGAAUACUUAAGAGGAUGUCAGCGCACUAUUUGUUUUCUCUCUCUGACCCACACGCAACAUAGACAAAACGCAUUUGCGCAGAAUUGUUUUUUCUAUGUUUUUAAGUAAUUUUAGAGUAAAAUCACCAAUUAUAAAAAAGAUAGAGAACAAUAUUUUAGAGGGAAUGACUUAUCGGUUUUAUAUUUUAUUGUUAUUUGACUUUGUAUUCGACUUUCAAAAUAAACAAAAAAUUUUUUGUAAAUUUAAAUUAUGUUUAAAUCGUUUUGAAACAAUAUUUAGAAAAAUCGAUAUGUCAUUCCCUCAAAAAUUUUAUUCUCUAUCUUCUUUGUAAUGAGUGAUUUUACUCUAAGAUUACUUAAAAACAUAGAAAAAACGAUUCUGCCCAAAUGCAUUUUGUCUAUGUUGCGCGUGGGCUAGAGAGAGAAAACAAAUAGUGCGCUGACAUCCUCUUAAGUAUUUUAAGGUUAGAUACAGUCUUUAGAAAAACAACAUAACUUGGAAUUCAGACAGUUCAGACAAUUCAGAUAAUUCAAAACAUGAAAAUUCGUUCUGGUAAUUGUUCCAGAGGUAGAAUUAAGGAUACUACUGAAAUCCAAAGUUUUUAGAAGAUAUAGGAGAGGAUGAUGCUCCUGAUUAAAUUAUAACCUUUUUAAGGAGAACAGGUCAUUGGAUUGAUGGUUACAUCACCCAACAAAUUGGUCCAUAUCCAGAUAAUAAAAAUUGAUCAGAUGAACAAGAGUUGCUACUGGAAAAAACAACUAAUUCGCAAAUAAACUUUUUAUUUUAUUUUUUUUUUUAAAUUUUAUAAUUAAUUAUAAUAACCUUAUAACAUUCUAAUAAUCUAUGACAAUUUUUAACAUUUUGAAAUCAACAUAACCUGUGAUUUAUAUUUAUAAAACUAUGUGUAAAUUCUUUGCAGUCUUUUAAAGUACUUGAGUAAAAGUAUUCAAAAACACUUAUUAAAUAUUUUUUAAAAAUAUGUAUCAGUAUUUGUACUUGAAUACUUUUAAUAUUUAAAUAUUAUCUUUUACAAAUUACAAGACUGAUUCUUCGACUUAAAACAUUAUUAAUAUUAUUAUUAUUAUUAUUAUUAUUAUUAUUAUUAUUAUUAUUAUUAUAAAACGGACUUAUUAGA